AUUGAACGCUGGCGGCAGGCUUAACACAUGCAAGUCGAACGAGUGGCGGACGGGUGAGUAAUGCUUGGGAAUCUCGCUUAUGGAGGGGGAUAACUACGGGAAACUGUAGCUAAUACCGCGUACCAUAGGAUGAGCCCAAGUGGGAUUAGGUAGUUGGGGAGGUAAAGGCUCACCAAGCCGACGAUCUCUAGCUGCUCUGAGAGGAUGGCCAGCCACACUGGGACUGAGACACGGCCCAGCCUCCUACGGGAGGCAGCAGGGGGGAAGAUUGCACAAGGGGGGCAACCGGAGACAGCCAUGCCGCGUGAAGGAAGAAGGCCUGCGGGUUGUAAAGUUCUUUCAGUGGAGAGGGGUUACCAAAAGAAGAAGCACCGGCUAACUCCGUGCCAGCAGCCGCGGUAAUUC
RNAcentral lists this ribosomal RNA (405 nucleotides) under uncultured bacterium. RNAcentral describes it as "partial 16S ribosomal RNA". It matches the Rfam family "Bacterial small subunit ribosomal RNA", at positions 29 to 526 of the family's 1533-position model. The record is from RNAcentral.